UCAGGCGUGGUGUACGGAACACAGCCGCUCUCUGUACGGAGUAUAGCUGAACUCUAAAUGCGGCAGAUGGGGUUCGACUCCCCACGUCUGAA
Molecule: non-coding RNA, 92 nt
Organism: Mycena sp. CBHHK59/15
Lineage: Eukaryota; Fungi; Basidiomycota; Agaricomycetes; Agaricales; Mycenaceae
Source: the annotation of a GenBank genome assembly